This 253-nucleotide ribosomal RNA is filed under the name uncultured bacterium. RNAcentral describes it as "partial 16S ribosomal RNA". It matches the Rfam family "Bacterial small subunit ribosomal RNA", at positions 524 to 776 of the family's 1533-position model. The record is from RNAcentral.
GACGAACCGAGCGAACGUUAUUCGGAAUCAUUGGGCUUAAAGGGCGCGUAGGCGGGCGAUCAAGUCCGGGGCGAAAGCCCCCAGCUCAACUGGGGAAGUGCCUCGGAUACUGGUCGCCUCGAGGGAGAUAGGGGCGUGCGGAACUUCCGGUGGAGCGGUGAAAUGCGUAGAUAUCGGAAGGAACACCGGUGGCGAAAGCGGCGCGCUGGAUCUCUUCUGACGCUGAGGCGCGAAAGCCAGGGGAGCGAACGGG